GAUGAACGCUGGCGGCGUGCCUAAUACAUGCAAGUCGAGCGAACGGACGAGAAGCUUGCUUCUCUGAUGUUAGCGGCGGACGGGUGAGUAACACGUGUAUAACCUACCUAUAAGACUGGUAUAACUUCGGGAAACCGGAGCUAAUACCGGAUAAUAUUUUGAACCGCAUGGUUCAAAAGUGAAAGACGGUCUUGCUGGCACGUAUAGAUGGAUCCCCGCUGCAUUAGCUAGUUGGUAAGGUAACGGCUCACCAAGGCAACGAUGCAUAGCCGACCUGAGAGGGUGAUCGGCCACACGGGAGCUGAGCCACGGUCAAGACUCCUAAGGGAGGCAGCAGUAGGGAAUCUUCCGCAGUGGGCGAAAGCCUGACGGAGCAACGCCGAGUGAGUGAUGACGGUCUUCGGAUCGUAAAACUCUGUUAUUAGGGAAGAACAUCUGUGUAAGUAACUGUGCACAGAUUGACGGUACCUAAUCAGAAAGCCACGGCUAACUACGUG
Molecule: ribosomal RNA, 497 nt
Filed under: uncultured bacterium
Lineage: Bacteria
Description: partial 16S ribosomal RNA
Rfam family: Bacterial small subunit ribosomal RNA
Source: RNAcentral